Molecule: long non-coding RNA, 1600 nt
Organism: Capra hircus (goat)
Lineage: Eukaryota; Metazoa; Chordata; Mammalia; Artiodactyla; Bovidae
Source: Ensembl
GUUGUCUUUAAAGUUAUGUCCAGAGGAAUAUGGGCUCUGCUAUUUCUCCAAGAGUCAGGUUUGCAAAUUCAAGAAAACAGCACUUCCUAGGGAAGCCUUCUGUGAUCUCUUCCAGAAAGUUGUCCUUCCCUUCCUCUAACCAUUGUAUGUGCACCUUCUGUGUGUUGGUUAUUUCCAUAUUUGUCUGCCUUUCUGAGGCAAAGUAACAGAAUACUUGGAGCACAGACCCUGGGGCAACCAUGCCUGGCUUCAGAUCCCGGGUUUGCCUUUACUGACUCUGCCCCUCUGGACAGCUCUCUCGCGGGCACAGUGAGGAUAAGCAGCGUUUGUGUUGCGGGGUUGUUUGCACACAUCCUGAGAUCCUGACGUUGCAAAACCCUCAAUACAAUGAGCUACUGUGAUGGUGGUGGUUGAUAGAACAGGCUCUGGAACCAGACCUGCCUGGGUGAGUUUGUCGCAGUGCUCCGUUGUUCAUCUGUCUCAGCUUAGCCUUCCUCAGCUGGAAGACGGGAACAACCACAAUCUCUGUCUCCGUGGGUUGUUAUCAGGGUGAUUCAGGGAAAGUGUCUGGCUCAUGACACUCAGGAAAGGCUACACACCAGACUCAGAUUUUUCCCAGCGGUGACUUGUUCUAAUUCAUCUUUGUACUCUUAGCACCUGGUCUGGGUUUGGCACAAGUUAGGGGGUAUUGAAUCUGUGGAUGCUGACUCUCCUGGGUUAACCAUCUCCCGUAUCUUGCCCUCUGCUAGCAUGGGUGCAUGCACCCACAUACACACACAUCAGGUAUAUAUAUAUACAUGUAUAUAUACAUACACAACGCAUGCCCGCCACACCCGCAGACACCACAUCCACACAUACACACUGCAUGUGCAAUAUAUGCAAACAUCACACAUACCACACCACACACCAAGCACAAAGGCGUAAACAGCAGACACCGUCCCCCGAUACAGGGCACCAUACCACAUACACACCAUGCGCACAUACACACACAGCAUAUACACACCACACCCAGAAACUUGAUACCGACACACAUACAGAUCCUACAGCGCACACACAAAGACCACGUUUCUCACCACAAAUACACAAUGUUACACAUGCCACGUGCACCACACACCAAGCACCAACGUGCAAACACCUUCCCCCACCCCCAGCGUGCCACACCCACUCUCACACACAGUUACAACACACACAUCACAAAAAGUACAGCUACACAUCCACACGCCUUUCCCUUCUCCCUCAGCUGCUCUGGGAGCUGCGGGAGCUGCGUCAGCUUCGAAGAAGUGACUCAACUUCCAGGGCUUGUUUCUACAAGUGCGAAGUCCCUCGUCAGCUGUGGCCACCUCCCUGAGAAGGCAUGCAGGCUUAGGAAGGCUGCAGAGUUUAUCAACAUGGUCUUACAGACAAGGAUGCCAAGAAUCAGAAAGAUGCCACUAUGUGUCUGGAAUCUCCAUCUCCCAGCCCAGGGAGGAGUCCAAGGUGGAUUGUUCUCAGAUAUAUUUUACCUGGCAGGAGACUGAACCACAAGCACUCCUAGUCUUGGCCGAAUUGAUAGCAUAUUUUUACGUUCGUGUCUCUUCCUUCCUGUUUUACUCACUGGUGC